Molecule: ribosomal RNA, 718 nt
Filed under: uncultured bacterium
Lineage: Bacteria
Description: bacterial SSU rRNA
Rfam family: Bacterial small subunit ribosomal RNA
Source: RNAcentral
GGCGCAAGGGUGCGUAACACGUGGGUAAUUUGCCAUGAAGUCUGGAAUAACUUGCUGAAAGGCGAGCUAAUGCCGGAUGUGACUUCCGAAGGGCAUCUUUUGGAAUUCAAAGCUGGAACCGUAAGGUCUGGCGCUUUUUGAUAAGCCCGCGGUCUAUCAGCUAGUUGGUGAGGUAACGGCUCACCAAGGCUAAGACGGAUAGCUGGUCUGAGAGGACGACCAGCCACACUGGAACUGAGACACGGUCCAGACACCUACGGGUGGCAGCAGUCGAGAAUUUUUCACAAUGGGCGAAAGCCUGAUGGAGCGACGCCGCGUGGGGGAUGAAUGGCUUCGGCCCGUAAACCCCUGUCAUUUGCGAACAAACCUUACCGGUUAAUACCCAGUGAGCUGAUUGUAGCGGAAGAGGAAGGGACGGCUAACUCUGUGCCAGCAGCCGCGGUAAUACAGAGGUCCCGAGCGUUGUUCGGAUUCACUGGGCGUAAAGGGUGCGUAGGUGGUGAGGUAAGUCGGAUGUGAAAUCUCCGGGCUCAACCCGGAAAUGGCAUUGGAAACUACCUUGCUGGAGGAUUUGAGGGGGGAUUGGAAUACUUGGUGUAGCAGUGAAAUGCGUAGAUAUCAAGUGGAACACCAGUGGCGAAGGCGAAUCCCUGGAAAAUACCUGACACUGAGGCACGAAAGCUAGGGGAGCAAACAGGAUUAGAUACCCUGGUAGUCC